CCAGGGGCUGUGUCCACCAUGGCCUGGACUCCUCUCUUCCUCUUACUCCUCUUUCACUGCACAGGUUCCCUCUCCCAGCCUGUGCUGACCCAGCCGCCCUCCCUCUCUGCAUCUCUUGGAGCAUCUGCCAGACUCACCUGCACCCUGAGCAGUGGCUCCAAUGUGGGUAACUACUGGAUAUACUGGUACCAGCAGAAGUCCGAAGGCCCUCCGCGGUAUCUUCUGAGCUACUACACAGGCUCCCGUAAGCACCAGGGCUCCGGGGUCCCCAGCCGCUUCUCUGGAUCCAAGGACACCUCGGCCAAUGCAGGCGUUCUGCGCAUCGCUGGGCUGCAGCCUGAGGACGAGGCCGACUAUUACUGCAGUGUCUGGUACAGCAAUGCUGCUCACAGUGACACAGGCAGAUGAGGAAGUGGGACAAGAACUUCAGACCCUACUGGUC
Tupaia belangeri chinensis (Chinese tree shrew) is the source of this 442-nucleotide non-coding RNA. The record is from the annotation of a RefSeq genome assembly. Lineage: Eukaryota; Metazoa; Chordata; Mammalia; Scandentia; Tupaiidae.